CAGCCGUAAACUAUGCUCGCUAGGUGUCAGGCAUGGCGCAACCGUGUCUGGUGCCGCAGGGAAGCCGUGAAGCGAGCCACCUGGGAAGUACGGCCGCAAGGCUGAAACUUAAAGGAAUUGGCGGGGGAGCACAACAACGGGUGGAGCCUGCGGUUUAAUUGGACUCAACGCCGGACAACUCACCGGGAACGACAGCAAUAUGUAGGCCAGGCUGAAGACCUUGCCUAAAUCGCUGAGAGGAGGUGCAUGGUGUAGACGUCCU
Molecule: ribosomal RNA, 262 nt
Filed under: uncultured archaeon
Lineage: Archaea
Description: partial 16S ribosomal RNA
Rfam family: Archaeal small subunit ribosomal RNA
Source: RNAcentral